GCUGAUUUCAGUUCCCGCACGCCAGAAGUGCUGUUGAAAGAAGAUAACAGCAGUGGCAGCGGGUUUUCUGCUGCUGCUGGCAAAGGUUUGGCUUUGCGACCUAAAUCAGCUAGUCGAAUUCUCCUUGGACCAGAUGCUGAAGCAAGUUCCAUAAAUCCUAUCACUAUGCUGUUGAACGAUUCUUUUCUGAACGACAGUGCAAGUGUCAGGAAGUCAUCGAGUACACCGAGUUUGCAG
RNAcentral lists this unclassified non-coding RNA (237 nucleotides) under Hevea brasiliensis (rubber tree). The record is from RNAcentral. Lineage: Eukaryota; Viridiplantae; Streptophyta; Magnoliopsida; Malpighiales; Euphorbiaceae.